This 459-nucleotide ribosomal RNA is filed under the name uncultured bacterium. RNAcentral's name for it is "bacterial SSU rRNA". It matches the Rfam family "Bacterial small subunit ribosomal RNA", at positions 15 to 518 of the family's 1533-position model. The record is from RNAcentral.
GAUCCUGGCUCAGAACGAACGCUGGCGGCAGGCCUAACACAUGCAAGUCGAGCGCGCCCUUCGGGGUGAGCGGCGGACGGGUUAGUAACGCGUGGGAACGUACCCUUUGGUAGGGAAUAGCCACUGGAAACGGUGAGUAAUACCCUAUGAGCCCUUCGGGGGGAAAGAUUUAUCGCCAAAGGAUCGGCCCGCGUUAGAUUAGGUAGUUGGUGGGGUAAUGGCCUACCAAGCCUACGAUCUAUAGCUGGUUUUAGAGGAUGAUCAGCAACACUGGGACUGAGACACGGCCCAGACUCCUACGGGAGGCAGCAGUGGGGAAUCUUGGACAAUGGGGGCAACCCUGAAUCCAGCCAUGCCGCGUGAGUGAAGAAGGCCUUAGGGUCGUAAAGCUCUUUCGCCUGUGAAGAUAAUGACGGUAGCAGGUAAAGAAACCCCGGCUAACUCCGUGCCAGCAGCCGC